Molecule: ribosomal RNA, 261 nt
Filed under: uncultured Actinomycetes bacterium
Lineage: Bacteria; Bacillati; Actinomycetota; Actinomycetes
Description: uncultured actinobacterium partial 16S ribosomal RNA
Rfam family: Bacterial small subunit ribosomal RNA
Source: RNAcentral
GACGAACGCUGGCGGCGUGCUUAACACAUGCAAGUCGAGCGCUGAAGCUUCUUUGGGGGUGGAUGAGCGGCGAACGGGUGAGUAACACGUGGGUGACCUGCCCUCAGCUCUGGGAUAAGCCUGGGAAGCUGGGUCUAAUACCGGAUAUGACCUUCUCUCGCAUGGGGGUUGGUGGAAAGUCUGUGUUGUGAGACAUGGGCGGUUGGGGGAUGGGCCCGCGGCCUAUCAGCUUGUUGGUGGGGUGAUGGCCUACCAAGGCGG